UACGUAGGUGGCAAGCGUUGUCCGGAAUUAUUGGGCGUAAAGAGCGCGUAGGCGGUCCGAUAAGUCGGCUGUGAAAGUCCAGGGCUCAACCCUGGAAAGCCGGCCGAUACUGUCGGACUAGAGUCCGGAAGAGGCGAGUGGAAUUCCCGGUGUAGCGGUGAAAUGCGCAGAUAUCAGGAGGAACACCAGCGGCGAAGGCGGCGCUCUGGGCCGGUACUGACACUGAGGAGCGAAAGCGUGGGUAGCAAACAGG
Molecule: ribosomal RNA, 253 nt
Filed under: uncultured bacterium
Lineage: Bacteria
Description: partial 16S ribosomal RNA
Rfam family: Bacterial small subunit ribosomal RNA
Source: RNAcentral